Molecule: ribosomal RNA, 484 nt
Filed under: uncultured bacterium
Lineage: Bacteria
Description: partial 16S ribosomal RNA
Rfam family: Bacterial small subunit ribosomal RNA
Source: RNAcentral
AUUGAACGCUGGCGGCAGGCCUAACACAUGCAAGUCGAGCGGAUGAAGGGAGCUUGCUCCUGGAUUCAGCGGCGGACGGGUGAGUAAUGCCUAGGAAUCUGCCUGGUAGUGGGGGAUAACGUCCGGAAACGGGCGCUAAUACCGCAUACGUCCUGAGGGAGAAAGUGGGGGAUCUUCGGACCUCACGCUAUCAGAUGAGCCUAGGUCGGAUUAGCUAGUUGGCGGGGUAAAGGCCUACCAAGGCGACGAUCCGUAACUGGUCUGAGAGGAUGAUCAGUCACACUGGAACUGAGACACGGUCCAGACUCCUACGGGAGGCAGCAGUGGGGAAUAUUGGACAAUGGGCGAAAGCCUGAUCCAGCCAUGCCGCGUGUGUGAAGAAGGUCUUCGGAUUGUAAAGCACUUUAGGUUGGGAGGAAGGGCAGUAAGUUAAUACCUUGCUGUUUUGACGUUACCAACAGAAUAAGCACCGGCUAACUUCGUG